RNAcentral lists this ribosomal RNA (253 nucleotides) under uncultured bacterium. Its description in RNAcentral is "partial 16S ribosomal RNA". It matches the Rfam family "Bacterial small subunit ribosomal RNA", at positions 524 to 776 of the family's 1533-position model. The record is from RNAcentral.
UACGAAGGGGGCUAGCGUUGUUCGGAUUUACUGGGUGUAAAGGGCGCGUAGGCGGCCUUAUUAGUCAGAUGUGAAAGCCCCGAGCUUAACUUGGGAACUGCAUUUGAAACGGUAAGGCUAGAGGAUAGGAGAGGUCAGUGGAAUUUCCAGUGUAGAGGUAAAAUUCGUAGAGAUUGGAAGGAACACCAGAGGCGAAGGCGACUGACUGGACUAUAUCUGACGCUAAGGCGCGAAAGCGUGGGGAGCAAACAGG